CACUUUUGGUAAAUGUUAUUCAUUAAGAUUCCUGAACCAUUAUGAAAUAUUAAACCAACCUCUUUAAAUCAUUUUUUUUAAAUGAGUUUUAGUGUUUGGAACCUUGUAAAAUAAUUUUCAGAAUGUUAUAGUGUCACUGUAGCUUAAUAAGGAAAAGAGGUCAUAUUUCAAGCUAGUGGAAACAAAUCCUUGUUUUGUAUUUUUAAUAAGUUUGUGUCCUCAUUCCUCAUUGUGAAAUCCAUGAACCUCUUGAGCUCUAAUUUUUCUUUAUAUUCCUGUGGCAUUUUAAAUACUGCUUGCAGUUCUUGUCUUUGUCUACCUUCUUGCAUUAUAUAUUCUCCCUGGAAGUUUCAUUUGUGCCUAUUAUUUUCUAAUUAAAGGCCCAACCUUUCAUCUCAGAGCUGCAUGGGCCACAGGCUUCUUUAAACUCAAAAAUAUUAAGCUUGGUACUUGAUUCCUAAGGACUUCAUCUGUUCCCUAAACAUUUUUUUGCCUCUCAUCCUACAUUUUAUAUGAAUAAUCAUACUCCAACUUUCUUCACUCUAUUUUUGUUCAAAUUUUCAUUUUUUUGGACGGUUGCAGUAAUUUUCUAAGGUAGCAGGCAUCCCAGUAAACUAAAACGCCUAUGAUCUAAUGCUGUGCUGUUUGAUGCCUUUGUCCACACUACCUGGAUGAAGUGCCUCUUCUCUCUUGGGAAGCAUAACUUGAGUCCUUCCCUCUGUAACUCUUUCAAAUCCCCACUCCCAAGUAAAAUGAGCCAUUCUUUAUAUUGAUGACCCAGCCCAGUGCUUGACCCUUGGAAGGCAUUGAGAUGUACAUGUUUCUUUAGAGACUGAUAACAAAACUUUACAAAUAGACUGUGUUGGUCCAUACUGUAAAAUACUGGCUUUCAGACUUCAAAACUAAACUUUUUUUGACCACAGAGUUUUGAGAAGAGAUAAAGGGUUAAUGAGACUCAGUGGCAAGAUUUCCUCCUCUUUCACGUGUGGGUUGGGGUGGGGAGGCAGAUAGUGCUGCCCAAAAAAAAUAUAAAAAAAAAA
RNAcentral lists this long non-coding RNA (1040 nucleotides) under Sus scrofa (pig). RNAcentral describes it as "lncRNA (ENSSSCG00015011658.1)". The record is from RNAcentral. Lineage: Eukaryota; Metazoa; Chordata; Mammalia; Artiodactyla; Suidae.